Molecule: microRNA precursor, 195 nt
Filed under: Oryza sativa Indica Group (long-grained rice)
Lineage: Eukaryota; Viridiplantae; Streptophyta; Magnoliopsida; Poales; Poaceae
Description: MIR812 microRNA precursor family
Rfam family: MIR812 microRNA precursor family
Source: Rfam by way of RNAcentral
AAAGACUCAAUUCCUGAGUUUUUGUGUUUAACGUUUGACUGUCCGUCUUAUAUGAAAUUUUUUUAUAAUUAGUAUUUUCAUUGUUGUUAGAUGAUAAAUCAUGAAUAAUAUUUUAUGUGUGAUUUAUCUUUUUAAUUUUUUUUAUAAUAUUUUCAAAUAAGACGGACGGUCAAACGUUAGACACGAAAACCUAUA